This 484-nucleotide ribosomal RNA is filed under the name uncultured bacterium. RNAcentral's name for it is "partial 16S ribosomal RNA". It matches the Rfam family "Bacterial small subunit ribosomal RNA", at positions 30 to 507 of the family's 1533-position model. The record is from RNAcentral.
AUUGAACGCUGGCGGCAGGCCUAACACAUGCAAGUCGAGCGGAUGAAGGGAGCUUGCUCCUGGAUUCAGCGGCGGACGGGUGAGUAAUGCCUAGGAAUCUGCUUGGUAGUGGGGGAUAACGUCCGGAAACGGGCGCUAAUACCGCAUACGUCCUGAGGGAGAAAGUGGGGGAUCUUCGGACAUCACGCUAUCAGAUGAGCCUAGGUCGGAUUAGCUAGUUGGUGGGGUAAAGGCCUACCAAGGCGACGAUCCGUAACUGGUCUGAGAGGAUGAUCAGUCACACUGGAACUUAGACACGGUCCAGACUCCUACGGGAGGCAGCAGUGGGGAAUAUUGGACAAUGGGCGAAAGCCUGAUCCAGCCAUGCCGCGUGUGUGAAGAAGGUCUUCGGAUUGUAAAGCACUUUAAGUUGGGAGGAAGGGCAGUAAGUUAAUACCUUGCUGUUUUGACGUUACCAACAGAAUAAGCACCGGCUAACUUCGUG